CAGACAGACUCUCGGUUCUUUUUUACAUUUUCAGUCUUUCGGUCUCAGUGGAAGAUGCGGCUCGCUGAAACGUGGCAGGAACGCUUUGGAGGAUAUCCUGAGGAAUCCAGCGUUACUUCUGAUUUAGGCAACUGAAUGCAGAGAGGUGAAACUAUUUCCAGGUCACUCACUGGCAGGAAGAUAAUUGUUGGGCCCAUGGAACUUUUUUACUGCAAAGAUUCAAAAACAAGAAUAAGCUGGUAGCCUGGCACUCGGAUCAAAGUCUCGGUAACCAGAUGGGCUGUACUCACUGGAUAGAGGGCAGGAAGCAGGACAGAACCACCAAAGCCUCACAGUGACCAGAAAGCCCAUGGCAGAAGGUGGGAGGACGUUUGUGUCUAUUCUGAGACAGAAAAGUAUUCAGUAG
This 406-nucleotide long non-coding RNA is filed under the name Dromaius novaehollandiae (emu). RNAcentral describes it as "lncRNA (ENSDNVG00000009911.1)". Lineage: Eukaryota; Metazoa; Chordata; Aves; Casuariiformes; Dromaiidae. The record is from RNAcentral.